Molecule: ribosomal RNA, 406 nt
Filed under: uncultured bacterium
Lineage: Bacteria
Description: partial 16S ribosomal RNA
Rfam family: Bacterial small subunit ribosomal RNA
Source: RNAcentral
AUUGAACGCUGGCGGCAGGCCUAACACAUGCAAGUCGAACGAGUGGCGGACGGGUGAGUAAUGUCUGGGAAACUGCCUGAUGGAGGGGGAUAACUACUGGAAACGGUAGCUAAUACCGCAUACCAUCAGAUGUGCCCAGAUGGGCUUAGCUAGUGGGUGGGGUAACGGCGUACCAAGGCGACGAUCCCUAGCUGGUCGGAGAGGAUGACCAGCCACACUUGAACUGAGACACGGUCACGACUCCGACGGGAGGCAGCAGUGGGGAAUAUUGCACAAGGGGCGCAAGCCUGAUGCAGCCAGGCCGCGUGUAUGAAGAAGGCCUUCGGGUUGUAAAGUACUUUCAGCGGGGAGGCGUUACCCGCAGAAGAAGCACCGGCUAACUCCGUGCCAGCCGCCGCGGUAAUAC